This 254-nucleotide ribosomal RNA is filed under the name uncultured bacterium. RNAcentral's name for it is "partial 16S ribosomal RNA". It matches the Rfam family "Bacterial small subunit ribosomal RNA", at positions 524 to 776 of the family's 1533-position model. The record is from RNAcentral.
UACGGGGGGAGCAAGCGUUGUUCGGAUUUACUGGGCGUAAAGGGCGCGUAGGCGGCCACGACAAGUCACUUGUGAAAUCUCCGGGCUUAACUCGGAACGGUCAAGUGAUACUGUCGGGCUAGAGUGCAGAAGGGGCAACUGGCAUUCUCGGUGUAGCGGUGAAAUGCGUAGAUAUCGAGAGGAACACCUGCGGCGAAGGCGGGUUGCUGGGCUGACACUGACGCUGAGGCGCGAAAGCCAGGGGAGCGAACGGG